Molecule: long non-coding RNA, 323 nt
Organism: Mastomys coucha (southern multimammate mouse)
Lineage: Eukaryota; Metazoa; Chordata; Mammalia; Rodentia; Muridae
Exons: 3
Source: RefSeq, a predicted model, not a curated record
CUGAGGGUGGGCCGGAAGGCGGAGCUUAAGUAACUGGCUCCCCAGAGGUGCCGAUGGAGUCGGAAGAGGCUGGCAAAUGCCUUGGAGCUUCAAGUACAGACUGUUGUUGUUUGUUCUAUGUCAAUCCUCAAAACUGAACUGAAUCCACUAUACUAUGAACCAAUCCUCAGAUCAACAGAAGCAAGAGAGACUAUGACCGUGACCAGCCCAAAUGAUUUUAACAAAAAAGAAGAAAGCUCAAGCUACCACUUUAAUGUAUGUUCUAGUAUUGCCGUAAAAGCAGAUGCAGAGGUCAGGGGAAGAAAAUAAAAGAAUUCCAUGUA